GACGAACGCUGGCGGCGUGCUUAACACAUGCAAGUCGAACGGAAAGGCCCUGCUUUUGUGGGGUGCUCGAGUGGCGAACGGGUGAGUAACACGUGAGUAACCUGCCCUUGACUUUGGGAUAACUUCAGGAAACUGGGGCUAAUACCGGAUAGGAGCUCCUGCUGCAUGGUGGGGGUUGGAAAGUUUCGGCGGUUGGGGAUGGACUCGCGGCUUAUCAGCUUGUUGGUGGGGUAGUGGCUUACCAAGGCUUUGACGGGUAGCCGGCCUGAGAGGGUGACCGGCCAAAUUGGGACUGAGAUACGGCCCAGACUCCUACGGGAGGCAGCAGUGGGGAAUAUGGCACAAUGGGCGGAAGCCUGAUGCAGCAACGCCGCGUGCGGGAUGACGGCCUUCGGGUUGUAAACCGCUUUCGCCUGUGACGAAGCGUGAGUGACGGUAAUGGGUAAAGAAGCACCGGCUAACUACGUG
Molecule: ribosomal RNA, 468 nt
Filed under: uncultured bacterium
Lineage: Bacteria
Description: partial 16S ribosomal RNA
Rfam family: Bacterial small subunit ribosomal RNA
Source: RNAcentral